UACGGAGGGUGCAAACGUUGCUCGGAAUCAUUGGGCGUAAAGCGCACGUAGGCGGUUCAGUAUGUCGGGGGUGAAAGCCUGUGGCUCAACCACAGAAUUGCCUUCGAUACUGUCGGGCUUGAGACCGGAAGAGGUAAGUGGAACUGCGAGUGUAGAGGUGAAAUUCGUAGAUAUUCGCAAGAACACCAGUGGCGAAGGCGGCUUACUGGUCCGGUUCUGACGCUGAGGCGCGAAAGCGUGGGGAGCAAACAGG
RNAcentral lists this ribosomal RNA (253 nucleotides) under uncultured bacterium. RNAcentral's name for it is "partial 16S ribosomal RNA". It matches the Rfam family "Bacterial small subunit ribosomal RNA", at positions 524 to 776 of the family's 1533-position model. The record is from RNAcentral.